This is a long non-coding RNA of Homo sapiens (human), 607 nucleotides long. RefSeq lists it as uncharacterized. Lineage: Eukaryota; Metazoa; Chordata; Mammalia; Primates; Hominidae. The record is from RefSeq and is a predicted model, not a curated record. The transcript has 3 exons.
CAGAGACUAAGACACACACAGACUUGGGAAGAUAGGAACAGAGACAGGGACAGAGACAGAGAUACAGAGGCAGAGAGAGAGAGAGAGAGAGACAUAGGCAGAGAGAGAGGCAGAAAGGCAGUAGACAGGGAGAGAGAGGAAGGGAAUAAAACAGCAACACAGAGAGUGAUGAGGCAGAGACCCACAGGGAUGGAGACAGAGACACGGGAGAGAUGGUGAGACACAGAAAGAUUGAGAUUGAGAAGGAAGACUUGGUAAAGGGAGACCCUGGGACAGACUCAGAGGCUGAGAGAGACCAAGACUGAGAGACAGCAGAAGAAACAGAGAUGGCUCCUGUGAGGCUGGCUGGAAGGGGCAGCCAAGAUGUCCUGGGCUCCAUCAGACACUGAUGAUUCCAUUCCGUGUCAUGCUCACUCGAACCCUGCAAGAUUCCACCCUGACCUCAGCCCUGCUAAAUCCUGGCAACUUACCUGGGAGAUGCUACUUCCCGACUGUGUGUCCUUGAACAAGUCAUUCGAUCUCUCUCAUCUUCCGUUUUCUCAUCUGCAAAGAGUCGGCAAUGACUCAUUGGGUCAUUGUGAGAUGUGGCCGUGGUAAGGAAUUCAAA